Molecule: ribosomal RNA, 191 nt
Filed under: unidentified
Description: partial 16S ribosomal RNA
Rfam family: Bacterial small subunit ribosomal RNA
Source: RNAcentral
CGAGUGGGGAAUAACCUCGGGAAACCGGGGCUAAUACCGCAUAACAUCUACGGAUCAAAUGCGUAAGCAGCUUGAGGAGGGGGUCGCGGCCGAUUAGCUAGUUGGUGAGGUAAUGGCUCACCAAGGCGACGAUCAGUAGCUGGUCUGAGAGGAUGAUCAGCCACAUUGGAACUGAGACACGGCCCAAACUC